CCUACGGGUGGCUGCAGUAAGGAAUAUUGGACAAUGGCGGAGACGCUGAUCCAGCUAUCCCGCGUGCAGGAUGACGGCCCUACGGGUUGUAAACUGCUUUAGACUGGGGCGAAAAAGUGGGAUUUAUCCUACAUUGACGGUACCAGUAAAAUAAGCACCGGCUAACUCCGUUCCAGCAGCCGCGGUAAUACGGAGGGUGCCGGAAUUAUCCGGAAUCACGGGUUAUAAGGCGUGCUGUUAAGUCUUGUUUGAAAGGCCAUGGCUCAACUAUGGGAUUGCUUUUGCUACUGGCGAGCGUGGAUUAGGACGAGGUUGGCGGAAUGUGGCAAGUAGCGGUGAAAUGCAUAGAUAUGCCAUAGAAUACCGAUUGCGAAGGCAGCUGACUAGACCUAUAUUGACGCUGAGGCACGAAAGCGUGGGGAGCGAACAGGAUUAGAUACCCGAGUAGUC
RNAcentral lists this ribosomal RNA (450 nucleotides) under uncultured bacterium. Its description in RNAcentral is "partial 16S ribosomal RNA". It matches the Rfam family "Bacterial small subunit ribosomal RNA", at positions 338 to 795 of the family's 1533-position model. The record is from RNAcentral.